UGGGGAAUAUUGGGCAAUGGGCGAAAGCCUGACCCAGCAACGCCGCGUGAAGGAAGAAGGCUUUCGGGUUGUAAACUUCUUUUCUCAGGGACGAAUAAAGUGACGGUACCUGAGGAAUAAGCCACGGCUAACUACGUGCC
Molecule: ribosomal RNA, 140 nt
Filed under: uncultured bacterium
Lineage: Bacteria
Description: partial 16S ribosomal RNA
Rfam family: Bacterial small subunit ribosomal RNA
Source: RNAcentral